Molecule: ribosomal RNA, 500 nt
Filed under: Mammaliicoccus sciuri
Lineage: Bacteria; Bacillati; Bacillota; Bacilli; Caryophanales; Staphylococcaceae
Description: bacterial SSU rRNA
Rfam family: Bacterial small subunit ribosomal RNA
Source: RNAcentral
GCUUCUCUGAUGUUAGCGGCGGACGGGUGAGUAACAUGACUGUGUAACCACCUAUAAGACUGGGAUAACUCCGGGAAACCGGGGCUAAUACCGGAUAAUAUUUUGAACCGCAUGGUUCAAUAGUGAAAGACGGUUUCGGCUGUCACUUAUAGAUGGACCCGCGCCGUAUUCGCUAGUUGGUAAGGUAACGGCUUACCAAGGCGACGAUACGUAGCCGACCUGAGAGGGUGAUCGGCCACACUGGAACUGAGACACGGUCCAAACUCCUACGGGAGGCAGCAGUAGGGAACUCUUCCGCAAUGGGCGAAAGCCUGACCGGAGCAACGCCGCGUGAGUGAUGAAGUUUUUCGGAUCGUAAAACUCUGUGGUCAGGGAAGAACAAAUUUGUUAGUAACUGAACAAGUCUUGACGGUACCUAACCAGAAAGCCACGGAACUACGUGCCAGCAGCCGCGGUAAUACGUAGGUGGCAAGCGUUAUCCGGGAAUUAUUGGGCGUAAA